AUUGAACGCUGGCGGCAUGCCUUACACAUGCAAGUCGAACGGCAGCGCGGGAGCAAUCCUGGCGGCGAGUGGCGAACGGGUGAGUAAUAUAUCGGAACGUGCCCUGGAGUGGGGGAUAGCUCGGCGAAAGCCGGAUUAAUACCGCAUACGAUCUAAGGAUGAAAGUGGGGGACCGCAAGGCCUCACGCUCCUGGAGCGGCCGAUAUCUGAUUAGCUAGUUGGUGGGGUAAAAGCCUACCAAGGCGACGAUCAGUAGCUGGUCUGAGAGGACGACCAG
This 277-nucleotide ribosomal RNA is filed under the name uncultured bacterium. Its description in RNAcentral is "partial 16S ribosomal RNA". It matches the Rfam family "Bacterial small subunit ribosomal RNA", at positions 30 to 307 of the family's 1533-position model. The record is from RNAcentral.